AAAUUUUAGAGUUUGAUCCUAGCUCAGGACGAACGCUGGCGGCGUGGAUGAGGCAUGCAAGUCAAACGGUCCCGCGAAGCUCGCAAGAGCGGCGUGGGACAGUGGCAGACGAGGUAGUAACACGUAGGAACGUACCCAGAAGUCUCGCAUAGCUCGCCGAAAGGCGGGGUA
This 171-nucleotide ribosomal RNA is filed under the name bacterium. RNAcentral's name for it is "partial 16S ribosomal RNA". It matches the Rfam family "Bacterial small subunit ribosomal RNA", at positions 1 to 165 of the family's 1533-position model. The record is from RNAcentral.